Molecule: long non-coding RNA, 566 nt
Organism: Polyodon spathula (Mississippi paddlefish)
Lineage: Eukaryota; Metazoa; Chordata; Actinopteri; Acipenseriformes; Polyodontidae
Exons: 3
Source: RefSeq, a predicted model, not a curated record
UGAAUUUCUAAACACUGGGGCCUGUAGGUGUUAAUUAUGUUUUGAUGCAAAAACCUAGAAUUAAAUAUCUGUGUUUUCUUUAAAAAAUAGUGAGUUUCUAAACGUGCAACCUUUUGUUUACCUAAAUUGCUCUCUUUUGUGGUAUGAACAGGAAAUACGGUAGCUGCUUUAAACAGGAAACACAAUGAAGAAAUAUCACUCAGUAUAUCAUGAACAUAAACAACAAGCCAAGUGAGUACUAACCAUCUAGACUGGAGCAGUGUUUUGUCUAUUGCGGAUACUGACAGCAGCAUGAUCUCAUUGGUCUAAAGGGCACAGGUUACAGUUCUGAAUCAUAUUCUAUUUUUUCAUUUGGAAAGGAUCAUUUGAUUGUUUGAGACUCAUAUGCCACUUGACACACAUCUGAGUGACUGUUCAUCUUGGAGGGUGAGAAGCAGACUCCAGGAAUUACCAAGCUGGGCAGUGUAAAAGAUGCAGACUGUGUGUGUCAAGUGGAUUCAAGGGGAAACCUAUGCCAAGGGCAGGUCGAAGAAGUCCCCUGGGUCCACAUUGUCAAUACCUUUUAG